GGGCGAGUAACUCAGUUGGUUAGAGUAGCUGGUUUACACCCAGCCUGUCGUUGGUUCGAGUCCGACUUCGCCCACCA
This 77-nucleotide transfer RNA is filed under the name Kiritimatiellia bacterium. Its description in RNAcentral is "Kiritimatiellae bacterium (gut metagenome) tRNA-Val". It matches the Rfam family "tRNA". From Rfam's summary of the family: Transfer RNA (tRNA) molecules are approximately 80 nucleotides in length. Their secondary structure includes four short double-helical elements and three loops (D, anti-codon, and T loops). The record is from RNAcentral. Lineage: Bacteria; Pseudomonadati; Kiritimatiellota; Kiritimatiellia.